CCGCGGUAAUACCAGCUCUCCGAGUGGUGUGGAUGUUUAUUGGGCCUAAAGCAUCCGUAGCUGGCUAGGUUAGUCCCCUGUUAAAUCCACCGAAUUAAUCGUUGGAUUGCGGGGGAUACUGCUUGGCUAGGGGACGAGAGAGGCAGACGGUAUUUCCGGGGUAGGGGUGAAAUCCUAUAAUCCCGGGAAGACCACCAGUGGCGAAGGCUGUCUGCUAGAACGCGCCCGACGGUGAGGGAUGAAAGCUGGGGGAGCGAACCGGAUUAGAUACCCGGGUAGUCCCAGCUGUAAACGAUGCAGACUAGGUGUUUGGACGGCCACGUGCCGUUCUAGUGCCGCAGGGAAGCUGUUAAGUCUGCCGCCUGGGGAGUACGAUCGCAAGAUUGAAACUUAAAGGAAUUGGCGGGGGACACA
Molecule: ribosomal RNA, 414 nt
Filed under: uncultured crenarchaeote
Lineage: Archaea; Thermoproteati; Thermoproteota
Description: bacterial SSU rRNA
Rfam family: Archaeal small subunit ribosomal RNA
Source: RNAcentral